Molecule: ribosomal RNA, 777 nt
Filed under: uncultured Neocallimastigales
Lineage: Eukaryota; Fungi; Neocallimastigomycota; Neocallimastigomycetes; Neocallimastigales
Description: partial large subunit ribosomal RNA
Rfam family: Eukaryotic large subunit ribosomal RNA
Source: RNAcentral
GUACACGCUGUGACUAGCAUAUCAAUAAGCGGAGGAAAAGAAACUAACAAGGAUUCCCCUAGUAACGGCGAGUGAAGCGGGAAGAGCUCAAAUUUGAAAUCUUAAAGGGUUUCCCUUUACGAAUUGUAGUUUAAAGAAGUGUUUUCUGUUGAGGUUUUGGUAAAAGUUCUUUGGAAUAGGACAUCGAUAGAGGGUGAGAAUCCCGUAUUUGACCUUUACUUUCAACUUUGUGAUACACUUUCAAAGAGUCGGAUUGUUUGGGAAUGCAGUCCAAAAUGGGUGGUAAAUUUCAUCUAAAGCUAAAUAUUGGCGAGAGACCGAUAGCGAACAAGUACCGUGAGGGAAAGAUGAAAAGAACUUUGAAAAGAGAGUUAAACAGUACGUGAAAUUGUCAAAAGGGAAGCGUUUGACACCAGUGUUGUUUUUCUGAAAAUCAAUUAAAGAACUGUUUAUGCUAAGUUGUUUAGACUUUAUCAGCUAACUGUUUAGUUUUGAGCUUUUCUUUAAUGCACUUUUCAGUUAACAAGUCAACAUCAAUUUCUUUUGCUGUAAAAAAGCUUGAGGAAGGUGGCUUGAGAUUCAGUCUUAAGUGUUUAUAGCCUCUUGCCUAUGCAGUCGGAGAGAUUGAGGUCUGCAGCGUAGAUCCCUUCGGGGCUAAAUGCAUUUGUGCUAAGUUAUAGCAUUUUAUAGACAACUUGUUGACUAUGAUUUGUCUUGUAGCUUACUCGCUUAUGUUAUUUUACCUACGCUUAGGAUGUUGACAGCAGUAUAGACUGU